Non-coding RNA from Danio rerio (zebrafish), 530 nucleotides. NCBI's taxonomy places the organism in Eukaryota, Metazoa, Chordata, Actinopteri, Cypriniformes, Danionidae. The record is from Ensembl.
CACAGAGACACAAGAAACCAAAGGGCUUUACCGUCUGCAAGAGCUGAAUGCACGUCAGGUGACAUGGGCUCCUCCAGGAAAUACAAUCAGGCUUCACCCUUCUGGGAUCUUCAUCAUCCUCUUCGUCAUCAUCAUCCCAGCCGUUGUUGCUGGGCUGGGCAGGAGGCUCUGCUGGAGAUGCUGCUUGAAUGGCCUGCUGGUAUGUUGGAGGUGUGUUCAGCAGUGAUGGAGAAAGUGCAGGCACAGGAGGAGGAGCUUCAGAGGAGACUGCAGUGCUGCCGCUCGGGGGAGAUGGAGCCGUAGUGCUGAUGGUCAGAAGUAACAGUGAGGAUAACUGGAGGAGGAUCGGCUUGACAAAAAUGAGAAGAUGGACGUGGAGGUAGAGGUGGAGGAAUUGAUUUAUCUGUUUCCAGCAGCUCACUCUCCUGGGUUUCCUCAGGUGAAGCUUCUUUUUUAAGCCCCAUCUCUAUCGCCCGCCUCAAGAGGAGCUCACUGAAAUCUGGAGCCACAGACCUCGCUUGUAGGUCGAG